RNAcentral lists this ribosomal RNA (383 nucleotides) under uncultured eukaryote. RNAcentral describes it as "partial 18S ribosomal RNA". It matches the Rfam family "Eukaryotic small subunit ribosomal RNA", at positions 592 to 976 of the family's 1831-position model. The record is from RNAcentral.
CAAUAGCGUAUAUUAAAGUUGUUGCAGUUAAAAAGCUCGUAGUUGGAUUUCUGGUGGGAGCGAUCGGUCUGGCGCUUAGCGCGAGUACUUGCAUCGUCUCCGGCCAUCCUUGGGGAGAGUCUGUCUGGCAUUAAGUUGUCGGGCAGAGGAUCCUCAUCGUUUACUGUGAAAAAAUUAGAGUGUUCAAAGCAGGCUUAUGCCGUUGAAUAUAUUAGCAUGGAAUAAUAAGAUAGGACUUUGGUACUAUUUUGUUGGUUUGCGCACCAAAGUAAUGAUUAAUAGGGGCAGUUGGGGGUAUUCGUAUUCCGUUGUCAGAGGUGAAAUUCUUGGAUUUACGGAAGACGAACUACUGCGAAAGCAUUUACCAAGGAUGUUUUCAUUAA